This 253-nucleotide ribosomal RNA is filed under the name uncultured bacterium. RNAcentral's name for it is "partial 16S ribosomal RNA". It matches the Rfam family "Bacterial small subunit ribosomal RNA", at positions 524 to 776 of the family's 1533-position model. The record is from RNAcentral.
UACAGAGGUCUCAAGCGUUGUUCGGAUUCAUUGGGCGUAAAGGGUGCGUAGGCGGCGCGGUAAGUCGGGUGUGAAAUCUCGGAGCUUAACUCCGAAACUGCAUUCGAUACUGCGGUGCUUGAGGACUGGAGAGGAGACUGGAAUUCAUGGUGUAGCAGUGAAAUGCGUAGAGAUCAUGAGGAAGACCAGUGGCGAAGGCGGGUCUCUGGACAGUUCCUGACACUGAGGCACGAAGGCCAGGGGAGCAAACAGG